UAAGCGGAGGAAAAGAAACUAACAAGGAUUCCCCCUAGUACCGGCGAGUGAAGUGGGAAAAGCUCAACUUUGAAAUCUGGCAGCUUCGCUGUCCGAGUUGUAGUCUCGAGAAGUGUUUUCCGCGCUGGACCAUGUAUGAGUCUGUUGGAAUACAGCGUCAUAGAGGGUGAGAACCCCGUUCAUGACAUGACUUCCAGUGCUUUGUGAUACACUUUCGAUGAGUCGAGUUGUUUGGGAAUGCAGCUCAAAAUGGGUGGUAAAUUCCAUCUAAAGCUAAAUAUUGGGGAGAGACCGAUAGCAAACAAGUACCGUGAGGGAAAGAUGAAAAGCACUUUGGAAAGAGAGUUAACAGUACGUGAAAUUGUUGAAAGGGAAACGCUUGAAGUCAGACUUGCGUAGUGCCUUCGGGUGCUGUUGCAGGCCAGCAUCAGUUUUUCGAGCCGGAUAAAGGUGGGAGGAAGGUGGCAGCUCCGGCUGUGUUAUAGCCCUCCCACUGAUUACGGAUACUGUGACACACAAUAAGUCCC
This 527-nucleotide ribosomal RNA is filed under the name Sakaguchia cladiensis. RNAcentral's name for it is "eukaryotic LSU rRNA". It matches the Rfam family "Eukaryotic large subunit ribosomal RNA", at positions 47 to 601 of the family's 3401-position model. The record is from RNAcentral. Lineage: Eukaryota; Fungi; Basidiomycota; Cystobasidiomycetes; Sakaguchiales; Sakaguchiaceae.